GGCGGCGUAGCUCAGAUGGCAGAGCAGGGGACUCAUAAGCCCUGUGUCGUUGGUUCAAGCCCAAUCGCCGCCA
This 73-nucleotide transfer RNA is filed under the name Thermoflexales bacterium. RNAcentral describes it as "tRNA-Met". It matches the Rfam family "tRNA". Rfam says of the family: Transfer RNA (tRNA) molecules are approximately 80 nucleotides in length. Their secondary structure includes four short double-helical elements and three loops (D, anti-codon, and T loops). Lineage: Bacteria; Bacillati; Chloroflexota; Thermoflexia; Thermoflexales. The record is from RNAcentral.